Molecule: long non-coding RNA, 358 nt
Organism: Mus musculus (house mouse)
Lineage: Eukaryota; Metazoa; Chordata; Mammalia; Rodentia; Muridae
Product: predicted gene, 31301
Exons: 4
Source: RefSeq, a predicted model, not a curated record
AUCUUGUUCCAGGAGCUGUUGCCGGUGUUAUUAAAAUUUGAGAGGAAAACAAACGCAGCUCAGUCCCCUGGAGCUGCAAGUUCACCUCUGGGUCAGCUCUACACCGGUGGCUGUAAAUGGCUGAAAUUGCAGUCUACUAUGAGACAAUGUCACAAAGAGUUGUAUUGGGAUAUUGGACUUAAUUUCAACACUCAUAACCAUGGUAGCAUCAUCCAUUAUGACUAUGAUAAUGGCAAGUCAGCCCAGCUCCAAAUGGAGGAUUCUCAAGUAGUGAGUGGACAGAUCUUCCUUCCAUGUAAACAUUUAUUUGACGCAUCUUUAAGACUGGUGUAUACCAUGACACAUUUCUGUGACCCAG